GAUGAACGCUGGCGGCGUGCCUAAUACAUGCAAGUCGAGCGAACAGAUGAGGAGCUUGCUCCUCUGACGUUAGCGGCGGACGGGUGAGUAACACGUGGAUAACCUACCUAUAAGACUGGGAUAACUUCGGGAAACCGGAGCUAAUACCGGAUAAUAUAUUGAACCGCAUGGUUCAAUAGUGAAAGACGGUUUUGCUGUCACUUAUAGAUGGAUCCGCGCCGCAUUAGCUAGUUGGUAAGGUAACGGCUUACCAAGGCAACGAUGCGUAGCCGACCUGAGCGGGUGAUCGGCCACACUGGAACGGAGACACGGUCCAGACUCCUACGGGAGGCAGCAGUAGGGAAUCUUCCGGAAUGGGCGAAAGCCUGACGGAGCAACGCCGCGUGGGUGAUGAAGGUCUUCGGAGCGUAAAACUCUGUUAUUAGGGAAGAACAAAUGUGUAAGUAACUAUGCACGUCUUGGCGGUACCUAAUCAGAAAGCCACGGCUAACUACGUG
Molecule: ribosomal RNA, 497 nt
Filed under: uncultured bacterium
Lineage: Bacteria
Description: partial 16S ribosomal RNA
Rfam family: Bacterial small subunit ribosomal RNA
Source: RNAcentral